AGUUUGGUAAAGACUUAGUAAACAAAUCAGCAAGGUUGUCACAUGAUUUGACUUGCAGAAUGCUUAUUUCCCCGCUUUUCUGAAGAUUGUGGGGGAAAACCGUUUAGGAGAAAUAUGCUUAGUGAUAUUGCUCUUGAUAUAUCAUGUCUGCAUCUGUGCAACACAUGCCGCAUUAUCCUCAUAGAUAAUGGUGGGUGAUUCAAUAGAACCAAUUCCACAUGACUGUUGUAUGUGGUUUAUCAUUCUGCGAAGCCAUACAC
Molecule: long non-coding RNA, 260 nt
Filed under: Hordeum vulgare
Lineage: Eukaryota; Viridiplantae; Streptophyta; Magnoliopsida; Poales; Poaceae
Description: long non-coding RNA (HVUL_LNC020751)
Source: RNAcentral